AUGCUACUCCCGAGCCUGCUGAGGGUGGUCAUAGCCUCCAUCUGCCUUGGAUCCAGCAUGUCCCGGGAAGUAACUCAAGCCCAAGCUUCAAUUUCUGCGCUGGAGAAGGAGGAUGUGACCUUGGAUUGUGAAUAUAAAGCUCCUUCCUUCAGUUAUUAUUUAUUCUGGUACAAGCAACCAUCAAGUGGGGAAAUGAUUUUCCUUAUUGAUCAGGAGUCUUAUAAUGAGCAAAGUGCAAUGAAGGGUCGGUAUUCUCUGAACUUCCAGAAGUCAGCCAGUUCCAUCAAUCUCACCAUCACAGCCUUGCAACUUGGGGACUCAGCGGUGUAUUUUUGUGCUCUGAGGGAUGCCACAGUGACAUAG
Carlito syrichta (Philippine tarsier) is the source of this 363-nucleotide non-coding RNA. The record is from the annotation of a RefSeq genome assembly. Lineage: Eukaryota; Metazoa; Chordata; Mammalia; Primates; Tarsiidae.